Non-coding RNA from Xyrichtys novacula (pearly razorfish), 6101 nucleotides. The record is from the annotation of a GenBank genome assembly. NCBI's taxonomy places the organism in Eukaryota, Metazoa, Chordata, Actinopteri, Labriformes, Labridae.
GUUAGGGUUAGGGUUAGAUCCAGGGUUAGGGUUAGAUUUUGAUCCCCGAGGGUUAGGGUUAGGGUUAAGAUUCUGGUUAGGCGUUAGUUUAGGGCUAGGGGUCAGUGGUUAGGGGUCAGGGGCUAGUGAUUAGGGGUUGGUGGUUAGUGAUUAGGGGUCAGGGUUAGGCAUUGGAGCCCCUAAUCACACGUAGAUGUAUUUAGCUGUUGUUCCCGUCCAGUGCAUGUGGUCCACCCCCGACAGAAACCCGUCUCCUUUCAGAGAGUCGACGUGUGGCCAAGCUCCAGUAUGCCACAUUCUUGUCUGUGUUAAUGUGUCUUUUUGUUUUGUAUGUUAUAGGUUUUGGGGGAGAGGGAGACUUUCCCUCCAAAGAGUCCAGAAACUCCCUGUCCAGCUUAGACAUGAAGUUCUGUUGUGGAGACAGAACAGGAGUUGUCUCCAGCUCCGUGUCUUGGUUUUUCCCUAUGUGUGAGUACUGUUUUGUAUUGUUUGUAGGUGUUUGUUUCUCCUCUUGUUUGUUAUGUUGUGGUUCUGUGUGUGGUGUGUGGAGUGGAGUCUGAGGUGUUUUGGUUUGUUGUGGUGUUUUUUGUUGUUGUUGUUGUGGUGGUGUUUUGUUUUGUUGUUGUUGUUGUGCUUGUGCUGACUGUGUGUUUUGUUGUGGUGUCUGCUUUAUGUUUACAGGUUUGUCCACAAUUUGUGGACCAUCAUUUUGCUGUUUUUCCUGUGCAGCAACAGGCUCAGAAGGGGCUGCCUGUCUGUCCUGUGCUGCAUCAGGCUUCACACAAGAGGCUAUCAGAGCCUCCGCGUGGUCAAUAACCUCCUGAUUUAUGCGAGGCAAGUUCUUUCGAGCCCAUCUUGUGGCCACAGUGAAGGCGCUCUUCCACUCUUGAGGUGGCUCUUUUGAAAGAUCUGCCUUUAUUUUCUCCAGCUCAGCGGUGUAGUGGUCCUGGAGAAUGAGUAGUGUAGUGUGGCCCCAGUUUUUUGCAUUUGCCAUGAUCAAAUCCAGCGUGUAGGUUGUUGGAUUUGCUGGUUUGAUCAUGGCUGCCAAAUUAUCCACCAUACGUGCUAUCAUUUUUGGAUCCUGUUUUUCAGGUCCUGGGGUCACAUUUUGUAGGUGGUGUACCAUUUUAAUGACAGUGUGUAAUUUUUUGACCAGUUGUCCGAAUUGGGGGUCAUGUACGGGUGCUUGAUGAGUACUUGGAUCAGGCAGGGAUCUGCUCUGCUGUGUGUUUUUUUGGUGGUAAUAAGGGCGUCUUUGAGGAAAUCCCCCCUGGUUACGGGUGGGGUUUCCCUGGUGUAGCACAGAUGCAUAGGACCCUGAUUGAGGUCCCCAAAAUUUGGGUUGAUAAUCAGGAGGAGGUCCAGGUCUGCGGGGACGUGAGGGAGCAGAGAACCGUGGGGGAGGCACAGGCCGGUUAGGUUUAUGGAUAAAGGGGGACUGUCUCCUAGAAUAGGAGACAGUAGGUGCACGGUCCAUCCCCCUGUUCCCCGUCCCCCACGACCCCGUUUGAUACUGCUGAUUAGUGCGAUACGGGCGUUUACCACGCCUUCUCCCGUAUCGCACUUCAGUCCAUUGUUCUUGGUCGUAGGUCAUGAUUGUUGUUUUAACCUUUUUAAUUAUUUAUUGUUAUUUAUUAAUGUGGUGUAUUUAUGAGACUAUUUAUUUAUUUAUUGGUCUAUCUAUCGAUCUUUUUAAACAAAACCUGUAUCAAAUGAAUUGUUAUUUAUUUUUUUAUGCUUUUUUUUGUUUUUUGUGAAAUAAAAAUGAAAUAAAAUGAAAUAAAAGUGAGAAAACUAAAUAAAAUGUGUAUCAAAAUGAAGAAUAAGUGCCCAGUCGCGACGUUUCGACCGCUGUGGGUCUUCUUCAGGCUAUGGGCACAAAAUAAAAUAUGUCUGGGCUUGUCUGGGCUUGUCUGGGCUUGUUUGAGUCUGUUGGUGAGAUGCUUUCUCUUCAAGAGACAUAUGAGAAGUGGGAGGCUGAACUCUGUGUGCGUGAGUUUUUUAUAGGGGCGUGGGAAAGAGCAGAGCCAGACGGGGGCCUCCGGCCGUCUGGGUGCAGUUAACCCCAUAAAUGCCAACUGAAAUUUAAUGACAUGAAUGUUAAUGGCCAAUUAGAAUUUUUUUACCCUCUUUUAGCUGAUUAAUUUUGAUGAAUUAUAAUUGUAAUGUCCAAUUAGAAAUAUUUAUCUUGUUUUUGACCUAUUUAAUAUAAUAAAUUGUAAUUUUAAUGCCCAAUUUUAACUUUUGCCAAUUAGAAUUUGUAAUGAAUUUGAAUUUUUUAAGAUAGAUGUAAUUAUGUUAGCCCCUAAUUCCCUUUUUAAAUUUUGGAUGAGAUAUAUAUUUGUAAUAUUUAUGGUUUUAAUGUGAAAUCAUCCCUAUUUUUAGCCCCUUAUGAAAUCCAAUAAUUAAUAAUGAAUCAAAAAGAAUUAGUUAUAAUAAAUGAUUAGCCUUUAAAGGUUAGGGUUAGGGGUCAGGGCUAGGGCCAGAGAGGCCAGGGUUAGGGUUAGGGCUAGGGUUAGGGCUAGGGCUAGAUCCAGAGGGUUAGGGUUAGGGUUAGGGAUAGGGUUAGGGUUAGAUUUGAUCCCCGAGGGUUAGGGUUAGGGUUAGGGAUAGGGUUAGGGUUAGAUUUAAUCCCCGAGGGUUAGGGUUAGGGUUAGGGAUAGGGUUAGGGUUAGAUUUGAUCCCCGAGGGUUAGGGUUAGGGUUAAGAUUCUGGUUAGGCGUUAGUUUAGGGCUAGGGGUCAGUGGUUAGGGGUCAGGGGCUAGUGAUUAGGGGUUGGUGGUUAGUGAUUAGGGGUCAGGGUUAGGCAUUGGAGCCCCUAAUCACACGUAGAUGUAUUUAGCUGUUGUUCCCGUCCAGUGCAUGUGGUCCACCCCCGACAGAAACCCGUCUCCUUUCAGAGAGUCGACGUGUGGCCAAGCUCCAGUAUGCCACAUUCUUGUCUGUGUUAAUGUGUCUUUUUGUUUUGUAUGUUACAGGUUUUGGGGGAGAGGGAGACUUUCCCUCCAAAGAGUCCAGAAACUCCCUGUCCAGCUUAGACAUGAAGUUCUGUUGUGGAGACAGAACAGGAGUUGUCUCCAGCUCCGUGUCUUGGUUUUUCCCUAUGUGUGAGUACUGUUUUGUAUUGUUUGUAGGUGUUUGUUUCUCCUCUUGUUUGUUAUGUUGUGGUUCUGUGUGUGGUGUGUGGAGUGGAGUCUGAGGUGUUUUGGUUUGUUGUGGUGUUUUUUGUUGUUGUUGUUGUGGUGGUGUUUUGUUUUGUUGUUGUUGUUGUGCUUGUGCUGACUGUGUGUUUUGUUGUGGUGUCUGCUUUAUGUUUACAGGCUUGUCCACAAUUUGUGGACCAUCAUUUUGCUGUUUUUCCUGUGCAGCAACAGGCUCAGAAGGGGCUGCCUGUCUGUCCUGUGCUGCAUCAGGCUUCACACAAGAGGCUAUCAGAGCCUCCGCGUGGUCAAUAACCUCCUGAUUUAUGCGAGGCAAGUUCUUUCGAGCCCAUCUUGUGGCCACAGUGAAGGCGCUCUUCCACUCUUGAGGUGGCUCUUUUGAAAGAUCUGCCUUUAUUUUCUCCAGCUCAGCGGUGUAGUGGUCCUGGAGAAUGAGUAGUGUAGUGUGGCCCCAGUUUUUUGCAUUUGCCAUGAUCAAAUCCAGCGUGUAGGUUGUUGGAUUUGCUGGUUUGAUCAUGGCUGCCAAAUUAUCCACCAUACGUGCUAUCAUUUUUGGAUCCUGUUUUUCAGGUCCUGGGGUCACAUUUUGUAGGUGGUGUACCAUUUUAAUGACAGUGUGUAAUUUUUUGACCAGUUGUCCGAAUUGGGGGUCAUGUACGGGUGCUUGAUGAGUACUUGGAUCAGGCAGGGAUCUGCUCUGCUGUGUGUUUUUUUGGUGGUAAUAAGGGCGUCUUUGAGGAAAUCCCCCCUGGUUACGGGUGGGGUUUCCCUGGUGUAGCACAGAUGCAUAGGACCCUGAUUGAGGUCCCCAAAAUUUGGGUUGAUAAUCAGGAGGAGGUCCAGGUCUGCGGGGACGUGAGGGAGCAGAGAACCGUGGGGGAGGCACAGGCCGGUUAGGUUUAUGGAUAAAGGGGGACUGUCUCCUAGAAUAGGAGACAGUAGGUGCACGGUCCAUCCCCCUGUUCCCCGUCCCCCACGACCCCGUUUGAUACUGCUGAUUAGUGCGAUACGGGCGUUUACCACGCCUUCUCCCGUAUCGCACUUCAGUCCAUUGUUCUUGGUCGUAGGUCAUGAUUGUUGUUUUAACCUUUUUAAUUAUUUAUUGUUAUUUAUUAAUGUGGUGUAUUUAUGAGACUAUUUAUUUAUUUAUUGGUCUAUCUAUCGAUCUUUUUAAACAAAACCUGUAUCAAAUGAAUUGUUAUUUAUUUUUUUAUGCUUUUUUUUGUUUUUUGUGAAAUAAAAAUGAAAUAAAAUGAAAUAAAAGUGAGAAAACUAAAUAAAAUGUGUAUCAAAAUGAAGAAUAAGUGCCCAGUCGCGACGUUUCGACCGCUGUGGGUCUUCUUCAGGCUAUGGGCACAAAAUAAAAUAUGUCUGGGCUUGUCUGGGCUUGUCUGGGCUUGUUUGAGUCUGUUGGUGAGAUGCUUUCUCUUCAAGAGACAUAUGAGAAGUGGGAGGCUGAACUCUGUGUGCGUGAGUUUUUUAUAGGGGCGUGGGAAAGAGCAGAGCCAGACGGGGGCCUCCGGCCGUCUGGGUGCAGUUAACCCCAUAAAUGCCAACUGAAAUUUAAUGACAUGAAUGUUAAUGGCCAAUUAGAAUUUUUUUACCCUCUUUUAGCUGAUUAAUUUUGAUGAAUUAUAAUUGUAAUGUCCAAUUAGAAAUAUUUAUCUUGUUUUUGACCUAUUUAAUAUAAUAAAUUGUAAUUUUAAUGCCCAAUUUUAACUUUUGCCAAUUAGAAUUUGUAAUGAAUUUGAAUUUUUUAAGAUAGAUGUAAUUAUGUUAGCCCCUAAUUCCCUUUUUAAAUUUUGGAUGAGAUAUAUAUUUGUAAUAUUUAUGGUUUUAAUGUGAAAUCAUCCCUAUUUUUAGCCCCUUAUGAAAUCCAAUAAUUAAUAAUGAAUCAAAAAGAAUUAGUUAUAAUAAAUGAUUAGCCUUUAAAGGUUAGGGUUAGGGGUCAGGGCUAGGGCCAGAGAGGCCAGGGUUAGGGUUAGGGCUAGGGUUAGGGCUAGGGCUAGAUCCCGAGGUUAGGGUUAGGGUUAGGGCAAGGGUUAGGGUUAGAUUUGAUCCCGAGGGUUAGGGUUAGGGUUAGGGAUAGGGUUAGGGUUAGAUUUAAUCCCCGAGGGUUAGGGUUAGGGUUAGGGAUAGGGUUAGGGUUAGAUUUAAUCCCCGAGGGUUAGGGUUAGGGUUAAGAUUCUGGUUAGGCGUUAGUUUAGGGCUAGGGGUCAGUGGUUAGGGGUCAGGGGCUAGUGAUUAGGGGUUGGUGGUUAGUGAUUAGGGGUCAGGGUUAGGCAUUGGAGCCCCUAAUCACACGUAGAUGUAUUUAGCUGUUGUUCCCGUCCAGUGCAUGUGGUCCACCCCCGACAGAAACCCGUCUCCUUUCAGAGAGUCGACGUGUGGCCAAGCUCCAGUAUGCCACAUUCUUGUCUGUGUUAAUGUGUCUUUUUGUUUUGUAUGUUACAGGUUUUGGGGGAGAGGGAGACUUUCCCUCCAAAGAGUCCAGAAACUCCCUGUCCAGCUUAGACAUGAAGUUCUGUUGUGGAGACAGAACAGGAGUUGUCUCCAGCUCCGUGUCUUGGUUUUUCCCUAUGUGUGAGUACUGUUUUGUAUUGUUUGUAGGUGUUUGUUUCUCCUCUUGUUUGUUAUGUUGUGGUUCUGUGUGUGGUGUGUGGAGUGGAGUCUGAGGUGUUUUGGUUUGUUGUGGUGUUUUUUGUUGUUGUUGUUGUGGUGGUGUUUUGUUUUGUUGUUGUUGUUGUGCUUGUGCUGACUGUGUGUUUUGUUGUGGUGUCUGCUUUAUGUUUACAGGUUUGUCCACAAUUUGUGGACCAUCAUUUUGCUGUUUUUCCUGUGCAGCAACAGGCUCAGAAGGGGCUGCCUGUCUGUCCUGUGCUGCAUCAGGCUUCACACAAGAGGCUAUCAGAGCCUCCGCGUGGUCAAUAACCUCCUGAU